Molecule: non-coding RNA, 113 nt
Organism: Acanthosepion pharaonis
Lineage: Eukaryota; Metazoa; Mollusca; Cephalopoda; Sepiida; Sepiidae
Source: the annotation of a GenBank genome assembly
UAUGGCCACAUCACAUUGAAACAUUGGUUUCCGUAUGAUCACCAAAGUUAAGCAAAGCCAAGGCUGGUCAGUACCUAGAUGGGUGACCACUUGAGAAUACUGGGUGCUGUAAG